RNAcentral lists this long non-coding RNA (33781 nucleotides) under Coffea arabica (coffee). RNAcentral's name for it is "long non-coding RNA (CARA_LNC000383)". The record is from RNAcentral. Lineage: Eukaryota; Viridiplantae; Streptophyta; Magnoliopsida; Gentianales; Rubiaceae.
UUUUUUUUUUUUUUUUGUUUUGGGUCCAGAUGCAGUCACUUGGAACAACAGUGAUGACUAGCAUUAGCGACCACAAAUUAAUACUAGUAGACAGCAUGCCAUAAUCAACUAUAGUUAGGAAAAUUAAUGAUCGCUAACUAAAACCUUUUCAAACAUGGUAAGCUGAUGAUGACACUUUGCCAGGUAUUAACCACUCGCUUUUCAUCUAUAGAAGCGAGCAUUAAUAGUUUUUGUCCAGCAAAAGAGACUAGUGAGAUUCGAUUUUCAUCUUUAGGAUGACAAUGAUCUGAUUUCUCCUGGUUUGGAUCGCAAUUUUUCUUCAAAAAUUUUUUUAUAUUUUUUAUGAAUAAAUUUUUUAAUUAUUUUUUUUAUUUCACAAACAUCAAAUCGUUAUAAUACAUAUUUUUUACAAAAAAUAUAAUCCAAACAUAGAGGUGCACGAUUGUUUGGACUGACAAGAUACCACGAGAGACAUUGCUUCAACUACCAACCGUGCACUCACGAAAUACACCAAAAGUUGUCACAAAAUGAACCACAAUAUUGGAGCUUUGAAUUUGUGGACUACUAUCCAAUCGUUUAGAACUUCAAAUAACUCCAAGCGAGACUUGCCUCUCCCAUUAAUGAUGCUACUGACCAUGAGUUUCAUUUUCAAAAUGGAUAAUUUCAGAAACCUCCUCUAAAAUUUUUAACUGUUUUACCAGUCUCUUUUUAGGUUUUUAAAAUUACAUUAAUUUCUCUUGAAAUUAAUUAUCUGGUAACAUUUAGACUCAAUCAAUAGUUUAAAAGUAAUAUUAGGAGAGAUAAAAUUAUAUAAUUUCGUCAUUGUCUCUCACCUAUUAUAUUAUUUAAUUAAAUUAAUACCAACUCACACAUUAAAGAAAAACAUUAAAAUUUGCUGUUAUCGUUAGGAUUAGAUCACAUAUAACAUCAAAAAAUAGUAUAUCAUUUUAUAUUUUUUUUUACUUAAUAUGAGAUAUAAAUUACUUUUUUUAGUUAUAUACGUAUUGUCAAAUAUGAUCAAUAACAAAUAAUUAAAAAAUUUGCAACCAAAGUAUUAUAAAGAAUAAACUUUAAUAUCAUAAAUACUCUUGCCAACAUAUUAAGUUUAGCUGUUAAAAUUUUUAUGGUAUUAAAAUUCAUUCUUUGUAAUAAUUUGGUUGCAGAUUCUUUUGAUUAUUUAUUGUUGAUCACGUUGGAUAAUGGGUUUAUAACUGAAAAGAGUAAUUUGGAUAUUACGCUGAGUGAAAUAUAUAUAAUGAUACAUUAUUUUUGAUGCUAUAUGUGAUUUAGUUCGUAAUGAUCAACAACAAAUUCUAGUAUUUUCUUUAAUAUUUGAUUGAUAUUUGAUUAAUUACACAAUUUAGUGGACGAGGCGUAAUGGUGGAAUCAUAUUAUCGUUCUUCUCAUAAUAUCAUUUUUUUAAUUAUUGGUUGAAUCUAAAUGUUACAAGUUAAUAAAUCUCAAUAGAAACUAGUAUAAUUUUCAAAAUUUGAAGGGAGGUCAAUGAAAUAGUCAUAAACCUCAAGGGAUGAGGUUUCUAAAAUUAUCCCUUCUCAAAAAGACCAUAUAGGAGAAAUUAUACGUUGAUAAGUCUAGUCGUUACUUUUAAAAGAAAUAAGUCUAGUCGUAGUUAGGGUUGCAAAUGAGUUGAGUCGAGUUAAAUUUUGAACUUUUCGAAUUGAGUUUGACUUGUUAACAUACGAGUUUGAAUUCGAGCUCGAGUUCGUCGAGUCAUAAAAAUAAAACUCGAGUUCGACUCAACCUAGAAAAAGGUAAGUUCAAAUCGACUCGUUUUUGGCUCACGAAUUUAGCUCAAUUUCUGGCUCACGAGCUGUUUGAGAUGUCAACUCGAGUUUUGGUCAAUAUUCUGGCUUAUGAGGAAUUCGAAGUCAAUUUAAUUUUAAUUGAUGUAGGGACAUUUUUAUAAUUUCACAUCAACUCGAGUUUUUUCAAGCGUUUCGUGAAACUAUCGAACCCAACAAGUGACUACCCAAGUUCGACUCGUAUAUAUUAACGAUUUACUUGAGUUCGAACUUAGCUACUUGAGAGCCAUUCGUGUGGAUUGCAGCCCUAGUCACAGCAACAAAUCUGGGUGACUUGGACACUAACCUAACUUAAAUGAGUGAAUUCUAUUCUGUUGUGGGAUGGUGGUGGCAGAAUCAGCAAUGUCCAUUUUUCAACGGCAAAAACCCAAAAGUUGAUAGUACACGAUAAAGCGGUGGAUAUUCCACUUGUCACCUGGUCGUUUCCUGUCUUUUUGCGUGUGGGCAACACAUCGUCACUCAAUUUCACUUAGUCACCAUUUUUCGGACUCGGGGCACGGACGGUUGCAGGUGCAACCGUCCAGGGCAAUUUUGGCCAUUAUCAACUGCGCGUAACUUUCUUUGUAUAUCGUGUAACUUUUUUUUCACAUGAUGUAUUUUCACAACAGAUAGUGGUGGGUCCCACACUUGGCGCGGAAAUCGAGUUACAUGGUGUAAUCUCAGCCGCACAAAAUUUUGAGGGCAAAUCUUGGCCCUUAACCGUGCAGGGACGGUCAUCAGUAUGACUGCGUAGGGAUUGGUGGUACACAAACUGAUAAACUUCGUCUCUCUAAACUGCGGAUUGAGCUGGCUCCUUUUUUUUAGAGGGAGUCAAACCUACUAGAGGCACUUGACUUUUUUGUUCUCGACCAAAUCAAAGCCGUAAUACUAAUAUCUCUCUCUUAUUUCUUGCACUGCCAUAACUCCUGAACAUAUUAUUGUACUCCCUCCGUCCCGUUUUGUUAGUCUUGGUUUUUUUUUCACACAGAUUAAAAAAGUGUAAUUAAUUUGAUUGGAAACAUAAAUUUAGAUUAAUAAUUUCCUAAAAUACCCUUAUGCUAAUCACGAAGAGUGCCAAUUAAUAUCAGUUACAGCUAAUGGGUUAGUAUUGGAAAAGUUCAAUGUAUUCAAUGUAGUGGGUUAGUAUUUAAUAACAAUGUAUUAAUAACAAGAUAUUUAAUAAGGGUAUUUUAGACAAUUUGAAAGAUUACUACAUUUCUUAAUGGGAAAGUGGACUACAAUUUGGGACAAACGAAAAAGGAAAACAAGACUAUCAAAGUGGGACGGAGGGAGUAAGAAUCAAACAGCACUCCGUUGACAAAGAGGCGUCAUAUUAUUAUGAGUAGUGGCGUGCUCUAUUCUAUUUGGUAGCUGAGUACCACACAACCUAUUCCACAAGCACUCAUCAUUUAUCAAGAAAUUGUGAUUAGUGCACUGGCAACUCGAAUUACACACUUAGAACCAAAAAUUAUUUAUGUGUUCUUCGAACUAAGCACCCUUUGCCGAACCGUUGAAACUCAGUAACCAAAAAUUAAUGCUGUAGAACGUAUUUAUAUGGUCUUUGAUUCGAACUGCGCCAACUCAAGUACUGAUGGGUUUGACAUUUUUUAGUCACCUUGGUUGAGCUUCUUUAUAAACAAAACGAUAAAGGUUUAUGGUGCCAACGAGUCUCAGAACUCAUUGAGGUCAUUUAAUUAAGUGCAGAUCAGAUAGACAAAUAUUUUAGAGAAUUAAUAUUUCGGAAUGUGAAAGACAGCUGAACCUCCACUUUUUUUUUAUAGGGCAAGAAUCCCACCAAAUUUUCCAGGACAUAAGUCCUAUUCCUGUACAAGUAAUACACCAAUUAAGUUCUCAUUAAGCCGUGUAUAUAUUGCAGAAUCUCAGUCGGGAAUAAAGAAUGCAAAAAGAAAUCCGCAUCGUAUGUAUAUCCUGCUAUUCAAGCGGGACAGUUCAGUAGGAGAAAGCAUACAACUCAAAACUCAAGUGUACCCAUAUACAGUUUGACAAAUUAGCCCGAGUACUGUAUGAUCGAACAAAAGGCCGAAGGAGUGGAAAGUAAGGAGAAGAAGAAAGAACGAGGACGUUUCCAGCUCUAGUCAAAAGGCCGAAGGAGUGGAAAGUAAGGAGGAGAAGAAAGAACGAGGACGUUUCUAGCUAGCCUGGGUACGUUUUAAUUAAUGCUCGACCCUGUGGGGAUAUCGCAUGCAUAUGCAUAUGGGCAAAUUUUCAACGGGUAUCCAUUGUGGAGGAGAAUGAUGAAACGCACUCAUAAACUCGCUAAAAAUUCCCCCUCCCUCAUUCGAAUUAUGCCACUUUCUUAUGCUUAAAUUUCUGUAAAUUUUUCUUGCAGAUAGGUUUCUAUCAACAGCAAUUGCUUUGAAUCCAAUGAAUUCAUCAAAUGCACGUCCCACAUUUAAACCUGAAAAUCCUUCUUCUUCUUAAAUAAAAGUAUAAAAACCUCCUCAUGAUUCAUGAACUGCCGGUGCUUGGAAACUUAACGCUGAUUAAUAUCGUGCACCAAGUAUAUAUAAUCAUGAUACAAAUGCAUCACCUCCAUGGCCUUUUUUUCACAUAUGGAAUAUUAAUUAAUCAAGAUUUUGGUCCAUGAGGGUAUUUUGCUCUUCAGAAAAAAAAAAAAAAAAAAUCCCAUGAAAUUUUUUUUGUUAAUGGAUGAAAACGUGACACCAUUCAUUUGCAUUUGCCUGCUCUUUAUCUGCUUAUCGUCUUAAUUUGUGGAACUUUCUCGCGUCCAAAACGUGUAGUGACAAUCUAUUAAGACAUUUCUUUUCGCCAAUUGGAUUAUGCGAUCAGGGGGGUGUACGUACGUUUUAGUGCUUAAAUAGUAGGUAGCUAGGUAAAAUUUUCCCCAACUGAUAUUAUUAGAUUCCACUCGGGCGGCUAUUUUGUAUUUGAGCAAAGGUAGGUCUAGCUAGUAGUUUGCUGUUUAUAAAAAGUUUAAAUUGCUUUUACUAAAGUUUCCUAAAUUCAGAACGGCAGUUCAUAGUGCCUGACAUUUAUAAGAGAUCAUCUCUUAUCCUAUUUGUCUUUAUAGGCACAUGCAUAAGAGAGAAAGCCUUUUUGAAAAAAUAAACUUUUUUUUUUUAAAAAAAAAAAACUAUACUACAUCAAUAUUAAUUGUCUACAUUUAACGGUGAUUUCAACCUGAGAUAUGAUACAUCAAAAUUAAGGACCGUCGUAAUUGUCUAACACAUUCCUAAACUUGAAUAUUUUUAAAUGCUGGAAAAUAAACAUGCAUGCUAUCAAGUCCAUAACUUUAAUGGCGGUUAAAUUUUAAUUACCCACAUUCCUCAGGUGCUGGAGGUCGCCUGUCUAUAAGUACGGAUGAUUAGUACAAAAGUUAGGCCAGGAUGAUCAAUGAUGAUGUACGACACUACUGCCAUUUUCAUUCUGUUAGCUUUAAACUCUACCCCCUCCCACCGCCGCCGUGUGGCCGUGGAAAUUUUAUUGGAAAGUGGCCUUCAAACACUAGAGCACGACAAGUUUCUUUCGAGAAAGGUCACUAUCUUAGUAGUAUUAAAUUAAUAGCACUAAAGAUAAAGAAGACAUAAAAUGUGAUCACUAAUCAAAAGCUCUUGUGUGGUACAGACACCGUACUUCUAAAGUAAAGCAGCCGUGGUUAGAGUUAGACAGCAAAAAAGCAUUUUGACUCAUUUCUCCACCGGACGUUGGAAAUGGAGGCCAAUACCGUUGUAGCUGUAAUUUUCUAAUGUUUAUUUCCAGAAUUUUCUUAGAUAAUAAUCAUCACGUCUGACGUGCUACCAUUACUCAAAGAUACUCUCAAAGAUUUUCUAUGACAGGUAUUAUAAUCCAUUGUAGUUUUCACUGUACAAGGUUAGCGCCAGUUGUUAUUUACCCAUAUGAUGAAAUGGUAAAAGUCUCUCCAUCCAAACGAAAUCAAUGCAUGGUCAUAUUCGUGCUUCUUAUGAAUUGGACAUUCUUAAGUUUAUUUGGACCAUACGAUGGAGGACGAAUUUUAAUAUAUCUGAAUCUAAGUAUAUAACAUAACAUAUUAUCUAAUUUUUAUGAAGUUUAUAUUUUAUAGUUGCAACAUAAAUUCUGCCAACGUAAAAAAAAAUAAUCGUUUUAAACCCCUCAUAUAAUGAUAGUGGGUCAUUUCUUGUCAGUGAGUACCGUGAACACCGCAAUAAUAUGAAUUCCUAUCUCAUUCAUCAACCUCUUAGCAUUUGGUUAUCGACCCGCCAAGGUCUCGAUUAACGGAGGUAUUAACUAAGAUUUAGUCCCUAACAUAUUAUCUAAUUUUUAUGAAGUUUAUAUUUUAUAGUUGCAACAUAAAUUCUGCCAACGUAAAAAAAAAAAAUCAUUUUAAACCCCUCAUAUAAUGAUAGUGGGUCAUUUCUUGUCCAGUGAGUACCCUGGACAUCGCAAUAAUAUGAACUCCUAUCUCAUUCAUCAACCUCUUAGCAUUUGGUUAUCGACCCGCCAAGGUCUCGAUUAACGGAGGUAUUAACUAAGAUUUAGUCCCUAACAUAUUAUCUAAUUUUUAUGAAGUUUAUAUUUUAUAGUUGCAACAUAAAUUCUGCCAACGUAAAAAAAAAAAGAAGAUCAUUUUAUACUUGGCAAUUUUCUAUUGCUUUUAAUUCAUGACAUGAGAAUAUUAUAUGGCAUAUGAUCUAUAUAAUAUUUUUCUCAAAAAAUUACUUUAAAAUAAUGGUGUCUUCAAAGCACAUCUAGCUAGUAACAAGUGUGUUUGAAUAGGAAAUUAUUUAAAAUAAUUAUUAUGAUCUUUUUUGUGACAUGAUAUAUGUGAAAUAAAAAGGUGAUUGAGAAGAUAAAAAGUUGAUUAGAUAUUGUAUUGUGAUGCAAGCAAAAUGUUAGCAUGUUAUUCAUAAUCUAGAGUUAAGGGUGGUUUAAUUACCCGUCCCAUUUUUAAUUUUUAAAAAAACUAGUAAAAGUCUUUCUAUCCAAACAUAUUAAUGCAUGGUUAAUCUUGAGGCAGCUUCAAUGAUUUUUUUUUUUGGACUUUCUAUUAAGUUAACGUGGGCGGGACUGUGCAUAGAAGAAAAAUUGACCGGUGGUAUCAUGAACUCUGCCAAAAGGAAAAAGAUCUUGGAAACCACUCCCACUCCCUCCCUUAGAGUUAAAAGAAGACAAAACCACGGAUUGACUUUGCUGUAGACAAAAUUAAAAUAAGAAAAAUAAAAAUGAUGAUGCAUUCCGGUUAAUGACAAUUACUAGUGGCCCAAUACGAAGCACCUAAACGGAAGCCGUCCUAUGAUUAAUCAUGCCUAGGCUUACUCUCAGUCGUGCCAACUCAACCUCUCCUUCCUUAUCGUCUCAAAAUCCAAUUGUCCGUUCUUUGACUUCUUUGAAUUGAUGCCUCUCAGCUUGAUCAUUAUUCGCAGCUAGCCCAGUAAUAGAUUGCUUAAAGGGUGUUUGGUAAGUGGAUUUUAUAUUAAGGAAUGAGUUUUGAAGAGUAUGCCGAAAUCACAAUUCGAACAGAGCUUCUGUGUGUGUUCCCGAACUGACCUGCAAUAAGUCGAACAGAGGGACUAGCUCUCCGUUGUAACUCCGACGCUCAAAUCAGUUGAGAAAUAAGAGGGAAUAGAGAAAGUAAUUGUAUUGUAUGGCGUUGUGUGUGUAUGUACCUUGUUAGGUUCCCUCCGUUCCUUAUUUAUAGAGCUGCUAGCGAUAAUUUUCAGGGAAUCCAAAGUUAUUCCACUACGCACAGUAAUUAUCUCAUUAGAAUAUGAGUUCUACUGGAUCACUAGAAGCAGAGCCCCUCUUGGACUCUAAUCCUGGCCUUGUCCCGAAGAAUGAGGAGCUUCCUUGCCAGUUCGACCUAUGACCAAACAGGCUCAUAUGUUGGGCCGAACUGGCCCGAAAGAACUGACACAUGUCGGUGGACAAUUAGCUCCUCUACAAGUUUCAAACUUAAUCAUAAUAUGAUCAUACUGAUAGUUUGGUUAAAAUUAAUCAGAAUGAGAUAAUGAACACGAUAGACCCAUUCUAUGAGUUUUGUGAUUAAUUAUAUUUCAGUAGACAAUUAAAAUUUGCUUAACCAUGUAUCUCAUAUAUUUUUAAUUAAAAAUAAAAAGAAGUCAAUUGUAAAAGAGCAGUGAAAAAAAUAGGAGAAAGACGACGAAAAAGGAAAAAAUUGUAAAACCUAUGUCUAGAUUUUAGUUGCCAAACAGUGUACGAAUUUCGACAAAAACCCAUUUCCAUUAACCUGUAAAUCAUAAUCAUUAUGAUUGUGACUGACGAACUUUUAUCAGAGGUUUCUUAAUUCAGCCACUUUGCUAAAAAGUUCAGAUAGCAAAAACCAGCAAAAAGGCAGCUAAAUUAGGAGAUGAUAUAUUAGCUUUUUCAACAUCAAAACGAAAAAGAAAAGGGAAUUAGGAGAUAAUAUAUCUGUCACUAAUAAGAUGGAAAUGCUCUCUGACUUUAUCGCCAUUUUCGAGACCGGAAACUAAAACCAUGUCAUGGGUAGCAGCCGAUAGAAGAGCCAUUGAGGGGAGUUGAGUUAAUGGGCGCAGUAAUGUCGGCCUCCGUCUUAAGCUGACGGAGAGUAUGGUGCUUGCUUGCCCACCAACCCAAAUGCCUAAAGCAGGAACGAUCUUUAAACCUGAGAGCCUGAACCCCGAAGUGUACUCUAACUAAUACUACAAUGAACUAUGUGCAUGUGCUACAUCAAUCAAAUCAUUUUUGUUGCUUGCAUCGUAUUAUCCAAUCAACAAGUUCCAAUAGUGGCCAUUUGAUUGAUGCCCAGUAGUAACGUAGUGUGGACAUUCCAUCAAGGACAUGAUUGUUAUUUUUAGGAUUUUUUUUUUAAAAAAAAUGUAUCGUAGCGAUUUGAUAUAUAUGAAAUUAAAAAUUAAAAAAUACUUUUACAAAAAACGUAAAAAGUUUUUGACAAAAAAUCACAAACCAAACCAGGCAGGCUUUCUAUAUGUACCUAUGCUUUAAAAUUCAGGCUAAAUAGUGACUUAGAUUAGAGUUAAAGAUUAGGGGUUAAUGACUUCGACUGAUCGGACUGAUGUUAAAUAAUUGAAUAAUGUUAUAUAAUUAAAAUUUUAUUAUAUUAUAUAUAAAAAUUAUAUUCUUAACAUGGAUAAGAAUGUUAGUUUUAUUUCUCAAGUUUUAUUAGCAAACAUUCUAUACUCCAAUGCCCUUUAAACUUAACUCAAAGUUGACGAUUGGAAGUUAUAAAUACAAAUUGACAGAUUUUUCGGUUAAACACAGUUUUGACCGAAUAUUUGACAGAUGAGUUUUUGAAGAAACUUGAAUCAAGUGUCUGAUCAAUUACCGGCUUAAACAGUUGGAUCGAUCGAUCCCGUCCGAGUUAAAGGCAUAGGUAUAUACAUUUAGGUACGCACUAGUAAGCGCUUCUGGUGUGUCCCCCCCCCCCCCCUCUUCUCCCAAAAAAAAAAAAAAGCUUUUUUGGUUUUUUGGUUUAAUAAAUAAUCCUGAUGGUGCGUAAGGAGCGCGUUCCACUUCCGAAUGCACGAGUCACUAAGUUUCGAAGACAAAACUUUCAACGUGUGAAAAGACACACCUGACUGAUCAUGAGAACUACAAUUGCAUAUGAUGCUUGGUGUAGUACGACCAAAUCAAAUUACUGGAAAAGGUUUCAAUAUUUUUCUUUGGCGAACGCAAUUUAGGUAACGACUGCGACUCGUAUAGUCGUAUGUCUACCUCUCUGCCGGCUAACUAUAUAAUCAUCUCAUCAUGCGUGCAUGGUUGCAUCGCCCAUAUCCCAGCUCUCUUACGACUAGCAAAGAUAUACGGGCACCUGACAAGAGUAACAGUACUACCCAGUAUCAACUCUACCAGGCCCAAAAGAUAAAGAGAAUUGAGCAAGAAGGAGUGAUGAACUCAACCGUCAUUCCAAUUCCUCCAAGUGCAGAAAAUGUUGAAUCCUCGUAUAAGGACGCCAAAAACAUGGGAAACAAGUUUUCGUUUCUAUCCACUUGUAGUGUUGCUUUCCGGGUCAUCCAGGAAAAAAGAUGUAGUCAGGGCAGCAUGAGAAAAGUGAUUCACAGUGUCAAGGUGGGGAUUGCCUUGGUAUUGGUCUCGCUGCUGUAUCUGCUGGAUCCGCUGUUCACUGAAGUUGGAGAAAAUGCAAUGUGGGCUAUCAUGACCGUCGUGGUUGUCUUCGAGUUCUCUGCAGGUUUGCCAAUUAUUAACCCAUUAUUGUGACCCAAGUUGUUUAGUGGAGUACUAAAAACAUUUUUUCUGUGCAUGGCUGUUUGCGAAUAUAUGCAUAGGAAUUUUUUUUUUCUUUUUUCCUUUUUGGGCAAUAAACACACUAGUCAUAAGUACUAAUAGGAAGCAGGUUGAGAAACUUCUACUGUAGCCAUUUUUUGGGUCAAUCAAUUAGACAAUAUACUAACUGAUGUAUUCACUUUGAUUUGAUGCACGUAUGUCAGGAGCUACGCUAAGCAAAGGCAUAAACCGUGCAAUCGGUACCAUAUUAGGCGGUGGAUUGGGGUGCUUGGCUGCAAUGUUGGCUGACGAGUUCGGAGGGAUAGGCAACGCAAUCGUUGUUGGCGCUUCGGUUUUUAUCGUCGGUAAAAUAUUAAUCCUACCACGACUUAAACUCUGGACCGCAGUUUUGUGUGUGUGUGUGUAUACAUACAUACAUAUAUAUAUAUAUAUAUAUAUAUAUUAGUAGUACUUAAAAGUGACUCACUGCUUAAAAAAUCAUACUCAGGAGCGGCCGCAACGUAUUCGAGGUUGGUUCCAAGAAUUAAAAGGAGAUAUGACUAUGGCGUCUUGAUCUUCAUCCUCACCUUCAAUCUGGUAGCUGUGUCGGGGGUACGGGCCGACAAAGUGAUCAGGUUAGCCAAGCAGCGUCUGUCAACCAUUGGCAUGGGUUUUGCUGUCUGCAUUUUCACCAACUUGCUUAUUUUUCCAAUUUGGGCUGGUGAUGAGCUUCAUCGUUCUACAGCAGCUAAAUUCGACAAACUCGCACGUUGCCUUGAAGGUAAUUUUUUGAAAUUAGUUCUACUUCUGUACUUGGCGUAUAUACCUAAAUCGGGGAAUCAUUGUAUUGUUUGGCUUUUUUAAUUAAAGCAAAGGCAUGCACAAUGUAUUAGCCGCGCGAUUUCACUGAACGGAACAUCAUAUAAGUAAAUGAAUGGCGGAUUUGAUUAAUUUGUAGGAUGUUUGGAGGAGGAACCCAACAACAAAGCAGAAAAUCUGGGCGCCAAGGUCAAGGACUGCAAGUCAGUGUUCCACUCCAAGUCCACCGAUGAAUCACUGGUACGUUUUGAUCUGCUUUUAGAAGACACACACACACACAAAAACAACAGUUAUAUAUAUAUAUAUAUAUGGAGUUCUUGAAAUAAAUAAUUGGUGGGUGGAGAAACAAUCAGAUUUUAAUGGGAGUUUUUUAUACUAUUAGUAAUUUUCCCUGUCAGGGCACGUGUAUUUUACCUGCAAAUUUAAGAAACUAAUCCUUCUAACAAUAAUUAAUGCAGGCCAAUUUUGCUAAAUGGGAGCCCUGGCAUGGGAAAUUUGGAUUGUCUCAUCCAUGGGACAAGUAUCUGGAGAUUGGAGAGGUCCUGAGGGAGCUCGCCGCCUUAAUCCUUUCGCUCGGAGUGUGCGUUCAGUCAUCCAGACAGGUGUUCAAUUGAGUGACAGUCCUACUCCUCUCCAUGUUGUUCUUCAUCCCCACCCCCCAACAACCCCACAAACAAAAAAAUAAUAAUAAUAACGCAUUCUGCAUCCAUUCCUGGGUUUUUUUUUUUUUAAAAAAAAAAAUUUAAAAUUCUGAAAAAAAAUAUUUUUUUUUUCUUUUUUCCGGCUCCAUCCAUCAGGCUGCAGCAAACCAAAGCCGCGCAAUCAGAGAACCGUGCGAAAUCAUAGGGUUGUCUCUUGCAUGGAUAUUGAGAGAGCUGGGCGAGAGCAUCUUCAACAUGACAAGGUGCCGAGCCAAGGCUUUGAUAGCACCAAAGCUGGAGUUCAUUAAACAAGAACUAAGCCGGUUGGGCUCUUCUCUGCAAAUCAAAGGACUAGAAAAAGAUGAAAAUCUUGCGAUGGCAACCUUCACUUUCCUCUUAAUGCAGAUAUCAGAAAAUGUGGAAGUAAUAGCGCAAGAGGUGGAAAAACUGGGACAGCUUGCUUAUUUUAGGACCAAGAACCCAGAUGUUUAACAUUAAUCAAUACACUUGAUUUUGGCAUCAAUCAAUAUACUUGAAAUAACAAGUAAAUCGACUGUGUGGUCAAUCCAGUGAAAUAUCACCUUUCCUCUCUCUCUGAAUUCAGGAAAAGGCGAAAAUGAAACAUAAAUAUGGCGACCCGAUGGAAGUGUGACAGUAGUGUGAUACGACGUAUUAGCUAGAAUUGUAGCACUGCAGUUGAUGCAUCAUCAUUUUUUGUUAUGUGUAAGCAACUAUUACCAGUGCCUUCAAAUGUUGUCUGUAUAUAUAUAUAUAUAUGGCCUCAUUAAUUCAUCUUUCUUGAUGCAUCAUCUUUUUGUACUUGCGCAUGAUAUGGUGUGUCAAGUCAACACGGGUGAUUUUGUUAGCUAAGUACUGCAACAAAAUCUGAUCCUAUGGUUUUUUUUUUGUUUGUGUUUCUACAAAUCUAGGAGGUUAACACUCUGUUACCGCAAGGAUUUUUAUAUGCUUAUUAAGAAAACGUAGGGUAAGGACGCAAGAAUAUUUUUUAACCUUUUUGCAGGAUAAAUAUUACUUAAACGCAACCAAAUAUCAAAUAUUGGGUACCUUUAAUAUGAAAAUAAACCAUUAUACCCUCAUAAGCUUCCUCGUCGUUGGCUUUGUUGAGUUUACAGUGCAGCUUUUUCUUUUUUCUUUUAUCCAAGGAAUAAAAAUAAAGAUAAAAAGGAUAAGAGAAUAGGGAUGCCCUUGGGCCCCCCCCCCCCCAAAAAAAAGAAAAAAAAUUUGCAUCCAAAUCACUCAUCAAUAAUGAGGAGUAUUAACAUUUUAGCAUAAGGUCCAGACUUAUCAACCCGGGAUUUCACCAAGAUGGUCAAAAAAAAAAAAAAAAAACACUCACCCCCUUUGACCUCUGGUGUUUCUUCCUUCUCAGCUUUUUCUUCACAAAUUAUUUCUGACUUCAUGAAUAUCCAACAGUUACAAUAGAUAUUUAUGGCUACCCAUUUGUCGGUGGUAAAAAACACACACACAAGCACAAAAAUCACAAAAUUCUACUUCUACCACAAAUUUUAUAAACAACUCAAAUUUUGAUAUGACGAGACACAUAGGUUGUGUUCGCAUACAAGGUGCUCAACUCAUGCAAUGAUGCUUUAUUUCCAAGACAACCCAUCGAUCGUUUGGUACGCUGAAAAGGGUCAGAUCGAUAUGAGCACCGGUAGUUGGAAAGACAUCCAAAAUCGCAUACAUUGAGAAUGAUGAUGGUAAUUUGCAAUAUCAGAAAACGUAAAGCUUCGAUCACACACACGUUCGCUGGUAUCCAGUACAAAGGGAAAUCACCACUAAAAGGGGUACUGCUCGUACCUCAUCGAACAAUCGAGGAGCACAGCACGAGCACCAAUCCGGCUACCGCAACCGCUGAUCAUCGUCGUAUUAGCAGCAACUAGACAUUUUUCACAAUCUGAGCUAGUUAUGUUUUUGUUGCAAUUUGCUUGGCCGUAGGCAAAAGCAUUGGGAUAAGGAGAAAUAUUGCGGUAAUCAUAACCUUUGCGCGAUGGCGUCUGAGUCUCUAAAUCUGCAAUAACAUAUGCAAGACUGAUAGCAAAAGGAUCACCUCGAAAAUACACCCCAGAAUUGCACAGCACGGUCACGACUUGGGUGUUUGCAGCACUUUCCACGGACCAACAAAGUGAACCCGCCAUCCCAACAACUAAUAUUGCUGCAGAAAUUGCCGUAACGUGUCGAGCAAGACCCAUGAUUUCUUUUGCUUGGUCUUCUUCUCUGGAGCUUCGUCUUUUAUUUAUGGUUGAUCUUUUGCAAGUUGAAAAUUGAAAUGCCCCGCAUUUAGUUUGUUUAUCGUCGGCGAUGUCCUCGUUUUGGGCUGUUUCUUGCUUGUCUCGUGAUGGUGGACCGGUGGUCGCAUUUCGUGCCGGCCUCGUUCGCUGAUUGGACGUUGGUACUGAGGAAUUCAUUUAAACAAGGAAAAAACAAAGUUAAUUUUGGUAAGCCAAGCCUUUACCAAAAAAAAGGUAAGCCAAGCCAGGCCCGGCAACUUCUGUUGUCUCCUUAGUAGAUGUCACAAGCAAAGACAGAUAACAAAAGAUAUUUUGGUGCCACCAAUAAUGGUUUCGAGGGGCGUUAAUCUGAAUUCAAUGCCCACCAUGUGGAAAACAUUUUCUUGGGUAUCUCACUGCUACGCAUGGUGGAAUUUAAUUAUUGUGGUAAAUGGUAGGGAUAAUUUCAAAAACGAAGUUACUGACAAUAAUAUCAUUGAGCUCGUCUAACUAAGGUUUGUAAACUUACAACUACCUUCCUUGAUUUAAUAGUUUUAGUAACCAAAUCUUAAAAUAACAUUACCUUGAUCAAAAUAUUUAAAUGAAUAUCCUAAAAUACCCUCAUUUAAUGAAUUUUAAUUUACUUCCAUACAUAAUUGUAAAAUUAUCUAGCACAAUUAUAAGGAACAGAUGCCAAAAUUUUCAUAUUCAUAUCUAUUGUUUGAUAAAUAGCUAUAAUAACAAUAAUUUUAUAGCUAUUACAGGAUAUUUUUGAUGGUGUUUUACUAGGGAUUUAGAUUUAUAGGAUAGAAACGAAAGUGUUCAAAUAUUAUCUUUUAGACUUUAUGAAUUUUUCAAAUGGUGGAAUUAUUAUAAUUUGGUAGUAAUUUUGGGCCAUUUGUUUUAGAUUUAUCAUUGAUGUUGAUACCAAUAAAAAUAAAAUAGAAAAACAAAGAUCACCGUAAACGUUGGAUUACAUUCAAAGUUAACUCAUUAAAAAAAAUAUUACUAAUUCAACAUUUUGUUACAACAGAAACUAAAAGCAAUAGUGGCCGUCCAUGAUUUUGUUGACAAAAUAUAAAAAAAGACGAUGAAGAAGGGAAACGGACUAGAAAAUGAAAGUCCUAGUUGACUUUAGACUCAUCAAAUUGCAAUCUUCUCAAAUUUUGAGUCAUUAGAAAAUAUAAAGAGGGUAAUAUUUUUUUUUUUUUUUUUAAAAAAAAGGUAGAGUGGGCAAUGGGUAUGUGGGAUAAACUGGAAUAGUGGGAAAGGGAAGUUGAUAGGUAUUUUAUAAAUUCUACCAUGCUCAUAAUAUGAAUGGUAUCAGAAAAAGCGACAUUACAUCCAAAAGUUCGUAAUUUUCAUUUUCAGAUACAAUUUGAUACCAAAUUACUAAUGUUGGGCACAUCAGUUGCUACUAAAGUCAACAAAUUUCCUUUGUAUAUACCGUUCCAAAUGUACAAUUUACAGAAAAUCAAUGAAAAUGUAAUAUAAUUACAUGUAUAACUUGUGAUCUGGUAAAAUCGUUCAUACAAUCUAGAAUAUACAGAUGCUUUUUCCAGCAAUGCUGACAAAUUAGCAUUGGCAUGGAGCCCUUAGACAAGCCCGAUUGUGAGCUUCACGGAACCUGAUCAUUUUCUUUCCACAUAUAGCAAGUCCAUCUUUGAUCCUCCACCUUUUUGAUGGGAACAGGUAAUAUGGAAAUACAAUAAAUAAUUAACAUAUAUUUUCCAUGACCUGAUAUUUUGCCGGUUAGAGUGAUCACUGCAGCUUCAGCUUGCUCGCAGUGAAAACAGAUCGUCAAGUUGUCUCUCAAUCUAGAGCGGAGGUGGAUGCAAAUGUUGUGCUGAAUUUUGUGCAUCAGUUAAUUCCUUUCUGAGUAACGCAGCAUAGAGAAGUUCGUUCCAUGAAUCAGGAACACCAGGCAGGCACCAGUGGCUACAGUCUUGCCGAUGGAGAGGAGCUGGUCCGGCCUUGGGCCCUAAAUAAUACAAAGAUGAGUGACCAUCUUUCCUCUGAGACGUCAUUCGUGACACAUUCAGUAGUUCUACAUUCUGCAAUUCAGACUUCUUUAUGAGAUUCACAAACACAUCAGUUGUUGUUCUUACUUCAACUGAUGUUUCAGAUGGCAAUCGUGAUGAAACCAAUUCAGGCAGUGUCUCCAGAUGACAGCUACCACCAGUCUUCCAGUCCCCACCUCUGUUCAUUUGAGUGAUUCGUUAAUUGCUUAUUUUGUGAACAAGGUAAAAAUGAUCACAGAACAGAGAACUACUGGCUAACCCCCUGUCCUGACAUGAGUCUGAAAGGAAUUGAGGUGAAAAGUCUGAGCAGUAAAUCAUCUUAAUUGAUAUCCUAUGUAUAACAAGGAUUUCAAGUAUCUAGCUUGGUACCAUUCAAUGGACCACGCCUGAUACCCGAUCAUAGUAGAAAACCUGAAUGAUACAACUGAGCGACUUCUAUAAAUGGUAAAACACAUUUGGUUAAUCCAGUCUUCGCAACAACAGAACAAAUUAGACAAACCUGAAAUGUACAGGAGCAUAGCUGCGGAAAAAUACGUGUGUCUUCUUUAGAUUGACCUCACGCCUUAUCCAAUCAACCAGUGUCUGAAUUGACCUGUGAAAUGCACUCUGUACGCUCAUAUCCAUCUCAACUUCUGCUCCUUCUUGGAAGUAACAACCCCUGAAGAGUGAAAAUGGUGAAUGUUCAGAUCCAGUAAAGCAGAGAAACCCGACCUUACAGCACUAGGUUUUAAUUGAAACAUCCCUGGUUUAUGUUCUGCAUUAUUACGUGCCAGAAUAUGGAAACUAAUAAUAAAGAUGCUCAAUCCUGUUUUAACACAUUAAGCAGACAUCACUCGAGAAAAAUAUUUACCGAAAAAUAGCACGAAAAGACAACUAAAUGGAACUAUGAUCUAGACAUCCUAUGGGAGUAGUGACUAUUUCGCCACUGCUCUCUUAUCAACUCAUUAUUCAGACCAUGGUACCUAAUCCUAAAAGUUCACCUUAACAUUUUUUUCAGCUAAUCACCCACAAGCCUAAUCAGCAAACAUGGUUUCUGUUAAUUGCUAGCUUGGCAUUGCUAUUAUAGCAGGAGAAUUUAAGGUAAAAGACUUGCAUUGAAUGGCUUUCCUGGAUCCGUCCAUUUAUGAGAGAGAAUUAGCAGCAUGAGUGACAAGAAAAGGUGAUGGUAAGCCAACAACAAGAGAAAUAUAUCUUACAGGUGACUAAUGACCGAUUUAGUUGUUUAGUAGGACAGAUGAACAAGCAACUCGUUCUCACGCAUUUUCCACAACCAGCGGACAUAAAUAUUCCAUCAAUGAAAUAAAUUUCAGAAAAUCUAAAGCCAACUAACAAAGAAGGUUAAAACAAGUUACCCUCUAAUAGUUUUCUCAUAAUUCCACCAGUGCCCACUGUUGAAAACUAGCACAUCUGCAUCUUUCCAGUUGGAAGAGCUCCAAUCCAUUUGAUCUAGUUUUAUAGUCAUCUUGACGUUUACUGGAGCUCCAGCAGGUGCACGACCCUGCACUACUAGAAAGGGAGCUCUAUAGUACUCAAUAGAACAGUUGAAAUCCCCGAACUUAAAGCUUAGGGAACCUGAGUGCUUUGUGAUUGAAUUCCCAUUAACUUCAUAUAUUGAGGUCUUAUCGGAGACUGCAGAAGACAACAUACAAAGAAGGGAUUCCCACUGGUUUCUUCCAAUUGAGUCCCCAACAAAUGCAAGGCGUCUGUUCCUCAAAUUUUCCAACAUCCUUUUUGCAUCAAACCUGUUUCCCAGUGGUGGUGACAAAAUUUAGUGAAAAAAAUCUUUAUCUUACCCUUUCCUAGGAACUCAUGUUUCCAACAUUAAUCAGUCAGUUCGACGACAUCAAUAAGAAAUGAGCCUCAAAGAAUGAGAUUGCUAGUUUCACAUAUAUUCACUUGGCGGAAGGGAUGAUGCUUAAGAACAUAAAGAUUAACUGGUUUUAAGAUAAUACCAUUGUCCAAAACCAGAACUUCUGGUAAUUUGGAACUUAAUGAAACGCAGUUAAAUCAUUUUGUCUCAUAGAGCUAGAGUCUCAUCUGUAAUGAAGAUGCUGUGCGUGGGAAUCAUGUACUUCUCUUAUGUACACCAAAUCCUCUGGCCUCUGCCCACUUAGUUGUCAAUAUGUAAUAUUUGAUUAUCUGAAGCCACAGUAUUGAAAUUAAGAUUGAAACUUGAGACGAUUAAAGCACCUUUGUCAUCAGUUGAUCACAAGAUACAAGACGUGCCAAAAAAGGACUGGCACUACAACAGGGCAUGACCUUUCCCAGAUUACCACUCCAAACGGGGGUAGUAACCAUUGUAGGUAGUAAACUAAAGAUUGCCUGAAGUCCUAUUAAAACCAGUGUCAAUAAAAAAAUUUAUGAUACUGAACAUUGAGGAACCUAGAAUGGUUAUUUGCAAAAACAUGUGUGCUGGUAACUUGAAAACUCCCAACAAUAACAAUUUUCUUGCCUAAUUGGCUAGCCAUCUCCCAGUUUUCACCAUUUUGCAAAUCUUUUAGUAUAUUCUUAGCAAUCAAAAGCAAAAUGCAAAAUGCAAAAUACAAGGGAGAAAUGUCGGAAAAGAAAGAUCAAAAAGAAAACCUGGGCAAGUAGCAAUCUUUGGGCUGCCAUCGCCACUUAGUAUAGAAUUUAUCAGGCCUGCCAUUCUCAGAGCACCGAAAUCCGGGAUCCAAAAACUUACAAUCUUCUGAUUGAUAGAGAGGAUAACUCUCGUCCCACAUCCAAUUACCAUCGAAGAUAUCACAUCCACUACCUCCAGCUUCGAGGAAAUUCACUUUCCCAUUUCCUAAAUCCCCGGGUUCUGCUGACGAUGAAGAAAAGGAACUAUUGAGACCAAACCAAGUGCGAAGUAAACUGUGGCCAUGCAAGCCGAAACCCCUGUUGGCCGUUCUGUAAUCCAGUAAAAGAAUACAAAAAAUCAAACAAAAGCUGAAGAAUAAACAGCCAAAAGCACCAGGAGAAGUGAGCUCAAGAGCGGGGGGCUUCAAGCGCCUGAAUUUCUUGAAGAAAUCCAAGGGGGACGUUUUGGGGAAGCCUUCAGGUCCCGGUGCUUCCGCUCCUUUACACAUUUAGUAGCAAGUAGUACUCGAAUUGGAAGAGGGAGGUUGUGGGUUUCUCUUUUUGCAGUGCAGUACUACUUCUGCUCCAGAGCAGGCAAAAAGAUGUCUGGGAUUGCGGCAGUGAGUUUUGUUCAGUUCAGGAAAGUGCAGGGUAAAUGCAGUCUCUCAAAAGACGAGAUGAAGAUGAUGAAAACAACACACGACAUAAAACAACAGUAGCAGUAGUAUUCUUUCCAAAACUAAAGAGAGAAAUAGAAAAUUUCGAAAAAACAUAAAGCAGUGUGGAAACAAAAGAAGAGGACUAGGAUCGAACGUGGGCCCUUGGUAGUGGAGAUACGUUCAUAUAUGAGUCGAAAGUCAUAAAACGGUACAGAAGAAAAGGUCGUGGGCCUAUAGAGAGAGAAGACAGAUUGGGAAGAUGAUGAUAGGAGGUGGGGUCCCGAACCUUGACAAGCAUUUACACACAAGCAUGCAGUUUCUGCACCGGCAAAUUUGUUCUUUUCUUUUGUUUUUUUAAAUUUGUUCAAUUUCUUUCUUAUGAUCAGUUUCUCGUUUACUGGCAACUAGUGGGAAUACCCGUUCAUAUGACAUUAUUGGAAAAAAAAUAAAAUGGUGAAUAAAUAAAGGUGAAAAAAUUUUACCAAUAAAAUUAAAAUAUAACAUCUGUUUAACAAUAGUUUGAAAUAUAAUAGAAUGUACAUAUCAUUCAAGAACCGUCUUUUUUCGGUUGUAUGAGAAUUUUUUUAUCAUUGUAUGAGAAUUGUUAACAAAAAAAUACAAUAGUUAAUAUAGAAUAACAUCAAUAGAAUUUAAUACAAUUGUGUUGUAAUCAAAUGAAAAAUACGCACCAAUUGAAUUGUUAUUAGUACCCAUAGUUAAUGAAGUAAUUCUUAUACAAAUAUAUUUUGGUACAUGUAGUAAUUGGUAAUCUACAAAAUAAAAUAAAUUGCUAAGUUGUCUAUAAAUAGCAUCAAUAGAAUGUAAUACAAUUGGAUUGUAAUCGAACAAUUGUAAUACAAUUGUAUUGUAUUGUAUCUAUAGUUGAUUUAGCAAGAUAGUGCAGCCAAAAAGUGUGUAUGUAAGAUGAGUAUGACGAUAUAAGAAACUGUAUAUUUACCAUGAUCACGCAAAAUCAUUGGUGAUGUGGAUGCCUGGCGAUCUUGAGGACAGUUAGAUUUUUCAUUUCUUUGAUCUAGAAAUAAAAUAUAUAUUAAAUUAAAAAUCAAUAGUUUAUGUAUUUAUUUUAUGUGUAAAUAGUGAUACAUUGUAUGAAAACUGUUAACCAAAAAAAUACAAUAAUUAAUAUAGAAAUAGCAUCAAUAGAAUUUAAUAGAAUUGCAUUGUAAUCAAAUGAAAAUGAUUACAGAGAAGUGGUUACCUGAACUAAGGAAUCCAGUUUUAAAUGCUCAAAAGUGUCUUGACGAUUACACAUAUGUCAGGGGCUUGGUGAGUUUUUUGCUCCUCUUGAAUCAAUUUCUUUUUUCUAAUUGUAAUAUAUUACUUGCAGGUGUUAAGUAGGACUUGACUCUAACCUUUCGUUUAAGUACUUUAAGCAAUGAACUAUUUAUUCCAUGAGUUGAAUUGUGCUGUUGCUAGAUAGAUGAAUCACGUAGUUGUAAUUGUCAUUGUUGAUAAAGAAAAGAAAGGCUAGAAUGCAAUUUUGCCAAAAGGAUUUCUGACGAAAUUAAAAAUUAAUCCAAUUUUAAUAAUGGGCGUAUAGUGCUUUAGUUAUUAGUAGUAUCUGAAUUGUUUUUCUCCAAUUAUAAACCAUUUUUAAUUAUUUUUUUUAAUUAUCAAUAAAUCUUUUUUUAUUUCAUGCACGAUCAUUUUUGGAAUAAAAUUAUGAAAAUAAUUAUCGUAACACCUAUUUUAUGUGAUAAAUGUGCAAUAAAAAAUAAUUAAAAAAAUUUCAGUAAUACAAACAAAUAAAUUUUUAUAAUAUACAAUUUAUGUUAGAAAUAGUAGAACCCUCAAUCAUUAACCUAUACCAUCCGCAAUUAUAUAAGCAAGCAAUACCUUUUUAUCUUUGCUUUACAGUGUAACAAUAAGCAAACAACCGUUCAUAAGAUUUUGUAAAAAAUUUUCAGAAAUAAUGGAUGAUCAGAAAAUCAAUGCAAUAUCAUUCAUGACAAAAAGCAAAGCAAAAGCAAAACAUACUUAAAAGGUAGAGGGGACUGACCUGAAAAUUAAGCCGGCCGCAAAAAGGUUGAUUUCUGUUGGAGUCUCUGCGCAUAAUAUCUUCCACUACUGCUCACAAAAGAAACAAAAUCAAUACAUUUACAAAAUCAAUAGAGAACCCAAAACAAAUAAGAAACUGAGAGAGAGGGUGAGAGAAUUAAUUCGAUAAGUUAAUUAAGUCGAUCAGUAAAAGGGUUGGAAAAAAAUUAUAGACAUAUUAUAUUAUUGGAAAUAAUCGAAAAUAAAAAAAUUACAAUAUGGGGAAUAAUAUUUAAAGAAAACACAGUACCGGAAUUUUUGAAUUUUGAUGCGAACGACGUUUUAAUCAGUGUAGCCUGGAUUUUGUCCUUCGGAUUUGAUUUGAGAUUUUUCUUUCGUCAGCGCAAACUUAUUGAAACUUUUUCAAUUGGUGUGUGGAAUCGUUACGGUGUAUGUUUCGUUUUCUAAGCAGAUAUUUCCUCCUUUGCAAUCUUGCGAGUUUGAAAUCUAGUUGUUGUUGAAAUGCUUGUAGGCGGACAUAUUCUAUGGUGAGGAAACUUUAGAUGGGUUCCCUACAAAUUUUGAGUGAAAUUUUUUAAUAUAUUAAAUAAUAGGACAACUUGAAUUUGGGACAGCAGAUAAGUGGGGCAAAGGUGAAAAAACACAAUAAUACUAAUCAAUAGCUAAAUGAGCAGGGUCACUUACUGAAAGGUAGUCACCGCCGGCUUCGUGAUGUCUGCCGAAGGUUCAAGAAAAGAAGUAUGAUGCGUACUAAGAAGAGCACCGGAGUUCUGGUACCAGGAUGGGAUAGCUUUCAGGUAUUUUCCUGUGUUAUGUGAAGACGCAAUUUUGAAUUAAAAAAAAAUGGGUCAUUAAGAGAUAGUUGGAGUGGACUGUUAAUUGGAGUGGGAAACGUGGAAAAAUUUGUAUGAGUGAUUGUAUGAUAAUUUAAGAUAGUGGGAUAGUGGGAGUGAGAUAGUGGAAAUAUUGAUUGGUGAUAAGGUGGGUUAUAACCCACUACUUUUUUAUCUAUUAAAAUAAAUACAAAAAUCUAGAAAAAAGUAUGACAAGUUUAGAAGACAUUGAGAGGGUUUCUGCUAAAAACCCCUUCCUGAAUACAUAUAGAUAUAGAUUGGCAAACGAGGAAAAAGAAGUCCUUUCUAGCUUUUAUUCAUCUGGCAGAGCUGGUUCCUUUCUCUUUUCUCCUGUUCUGAGGUUUACAGCCGCUAAAUCUUUCAGGUUCUCACACCUUUUUUUUUUGGUCUUCUUCUUUGGCUAGCAACGAGUUACAUGGGUUUGUAUAGAGAGUAUUAUUUGAUAUAAUUAUUAUAAUUUUUUUAUGAUGUGAUAUAUGCGUAAAUAAAAAUAUAAUUGGGAAUUUAAAAAAAUAAAUUAAAAAAUAUAUUUACAAUGCAAGCGAUAGCUCAAUUUUGUCAUAUUUGGUUUGCAUGUAAACAUAUUUUUCAAUUCACCUUUUUAUCUCACAUACGUUAUUUUUUGUGUUACAUACUUAUUUCAAAUAAUAUUUUAAAUAAUACUCUAUCCAGCAAAAUUAAGUACACCCACAUGUUAUCAAAAGAAGAUGAAAAAGGUAGCGUGCAUCUAUCAUCUCUUUAUUGCUGACUUAUCACAGAGAAACUGUGCCCCAAAAUAGAGAGAUAAUCACUAGUGGGAGAGUGAUAAAUGAUAAUGGCACGUUCUAUUAAUUAAUGCGUGUGAUAUAAUUGAGAGUGUGUAUUUAUCAUAGAUUAUUUGGGAUAAUGUUUUGAAAAAUAUAAUGUGAGAUAAAAUGGUGGUUAAAAAAUUGUAUUGAUGAUUUAAACAAAUAAAAUUAUCCAAAUAAUUUAGAAUUCAAACAAAAAUUAUGUAUAGUUAAUAACCAGUUACUACAACCAUGAUGGAUAGUAUUAAAUGAUUCAUAAUUGAACAAACAAAACAAGAUUUGGAUAACUAGGCCAUAUUCGGUGACCAAAUGAUAACUAUAGAUUAAACAUUUGUUCACUUAAAUACGUGACGGAAUUUUUGUUUAUCAUUAUUAUUAUUAUGAAUAUCAUGGGCGAGUAUUUGCACCGAAUUGAAUUAACUUGAAAGUUGAGUGCAACAGAGUCACGGUCUUAAUAAUAUCCUUGAUUUAGGAAAAGUUUUAAUCACAUAAAUGUUUCAUACGUAUGGAAUCAACUUUUGAUUUUAUCGUCCAAAUGCAAUUGGUUAAAAACUUAUAAAAAUGCAAACACAAAACAGUGGUUAAUUGAGCGCACGAACGAUGGAUGCGGACGCAGAUGGAGACGAUGAUAAGGCGGCCAAAAAUGAACAAGAGUGGACAAAAGGUGCUGUGCGUACGGAAGAAAGGGCGGGAAUCAAGGGAACGUGAAGAGACGAGCGGAGUUGUGGUGGCUAAGGCGGCUAGAGCUGUAAACGAAUCGAAUUGCUUAUGAGCGAGUCGAGUUAAAGUUCGUCUCGAGUUCGAACUGAUCAAAUCGAAUUCGGACUCGAAUUCGAGUUUAAAAUAUUAAAUUCGUUAGUUCGGGGAAUUUAAAUAUAUAUUUAUUUAUUUUAAUAGUAAAAUUACAUAUAUAUUUUUAAUAUUUUAUUAUUUAUUAAAAAAAUUAAAUAUUUGUUGUUUUUAUUAGAUUAAUUUCCAGAAAAGUGAGGCUCACGAAUCAAAAAUUCGAGUUACAUUACGAGUUGACAAUUCGAGCUGCUCGCGAGUCAGAAAUCGAGCUACAGCUUGCGAGCCUUGUCGACUCGAGCUCGAGUCUGGCUUUUCUUUGGUCGAGUCGAGCUCGAGCUCAAUUUUCUUGGCUCGUCCAGUUCGAGUUCGAAUUCGAGUCUAUCUGUUAUUAAGUCAAGCUCGACUCGAUAAAUCCAAAACUAGAUUCGAUUCGAUUCGAUUCGUUUGCAACCCUAGCACGGACAAUGCUUCUUGACAGGUAAUGCUCUGCGACUAUUACAAACUAGUGCAAAUUAAAAACUAUUUCUCAUGACAUUCUGGCAUUCUCACUCUUGUGUUUGGACGGCGGACCAAGACCAUGUCCCUCGUAAAAUUAAAUUGAUAAAAUUUAUUUCUAACUUAAGUUUUUGAUCACUUUUUUGUGAAUUCACCAUGUGACUCACAUAUGAUCAUUUUUUAGGAGUAAAAAUGCUAGAUCUAAUUUGUAAGUAAAUAAACUGCUCAAUUUAUAUUCAUUUUUGUCUUUUAAAAAAAAUGAAUUACAGCGGCACUCCUAUCUUAUGCACUUUCAGAGUCCAAAUUACUGCGACAGUUAUCAUCUAAACAUACAUCACAAAUUACUACACUUUGUUAAGUAGUGGUAAUAAAUUUGACUUUUUGCAAGUAACUAAAGUGAAGAAAACUUGCUAGUCAUUACUAUGUAAUAUUACCGACAAAUAAACCACCGUUUUGUUAUUAUUCUCACAAACCGAUAAAUUUAUAUUUUUGAUGGUAUUAUUGUCAUAGCAGUUAUAGUAGGCAACGACCGUUUGCCGACCAAUUAAUUUGAAAAGAUAAAUUAAUAGUACUCGAAAGGACCUUGUAAUAUCUAGAAUUUAUAUCAGGAGACAAGACAGCAAACCUCACCUUCACGAUCCACGUAUUAAUAAAAAAUAAAAUAGUCAUAUUGAGACGAAAAUGGGAUGGUCAACUUAGAUUUAGUAUGUAAUUUAUCCGCAAUGGAUCUUUUGUCCUACACUUUGUACCAUUCUUUGUCUCAUUUUUUAUUAUAUUGCUAUUUUUUCUACAUAAAUACCAUAUUUUAAUUCUUUUUUUUGUUUCCUUAAGAUCCAAUAACUAUUAACUGAAUAAAAAAUCAAUACAACAGCUUCAAAAAAGUAAUAUAUAAUAGAAAAUUAAAAAAUACAGCAAAAAAUUCAUAAAAAAAUCUCAUUUUUUAUGCAUUUUGAUUUUUUGAGUUUGUUAAAUUUUGUAUAUUACUCAGUUAAUAAUUAUUGGAUCUUAAGAAAACAAAAAAGAACUAAAAUAUGAUGUUUAUAUAAGAGAAAUAGCAAUAUAAUAAAAAAUGGGACAAAAAAUGACAUAAAAUGUGGGACAGAAGAUUCGUUACGUAAUUUAUCGCGUGAAAGCUCAGUCAUACACCUCAGAAAGAAAGUCAAAAGGAUCAUAUGGUUAGACUGACAGAGGAACAAAAUUAUUGAGGCCAUGCGGAGUUCAUCAAUAGUAAUCCGCAAAUUGCUUAUCCUCAGUUGUUGCCAUCAAUCAAAUCGUUAGUUAAGUCGAUACCCCACGUUAAAUGAGAAUCUUAGUUGCUAACUAAGAUUGAAGCAGUUUUGGACAGAAAUCUUUUUGCUUAUCAGCUGACAAUCUUUCAAAGAAAAAGAGGAGUAGUACUACUCAUCAAUCCAAUCCAGUGGUAGAUUUUUACAGGUAGAGAAGCAUCAGAAGAAGUGAUCACACUUGCAGGGUUCACAAAAAGUAGUAACAGAAUGUCAUACAUACUGCAAUGCCACCUAAAAUAAAAAUUCUAUCCAACCUGCUUUCAUUUCUCAUCUUUUCCUCUUUUAGUUCACUCUGCACCUUCGAGUACAGAAGACAAGACUCGAGGGCCUCGCUAUAAUUUUUGCUCCUCCUGCAGCUCAGUGCUUCUUUUAGGACAAGCAAACUGUUUCUGCCAUUUACAUGAGCACCUUCCAUAUCUUCCAGUUGCAUGCUCAGUUCUGUCAACUUGAGAGUUGUCUGGACUCCAAUCCCCUCCGUAUGGAUCACCCUAAACCUCAUUAAAAGGAUGCAUUCGACUGCAGGACAUGGAAGAAUGUCCUUGGCAGGAAGAACGGAUCCAAAUCUUAUCAAAAAAUCCUUGUCAGUUGGCCAAUGUCUCUGCCCUCCGAGAGAGCUCCAGCUUGAGAGAUUAGCAGCCUGCUUAAUUUUGCUGUUCACAAGAAUCCAACUUAAGCGGAUUCCAUCGUGGAGAUCUUGCCAAAGCUUCCCGUCUUUCCUUUCUUUUUCCAUUGAUGUGAUCGGAGGCAAUCCGUCUGAAACAGAGAGCUUUACUUCACCAGCAUGGUCAUCAUCCCUGGCAGAGUUGGUGAGCAGAUCAAUCCGGAAAGGACAAUUGAAAAACCAACCAUUCAAGCCGUUAGCAUUUGGGAUGCCCCAAAGGACUUUCGAGCAGAUGGUUUGGUCCUUGUACCUUAUAUCCACUAUAGAAACAAAAUCUGAUGGUGAGAAAGUUUCCAGUUCAUCCAUAUCAUCAUAGUAAUCAGCUUCAUUCCAUUCUUCAGGAUGGUGAAGAUAGUCAUUAAACCGAAACUCGGGAACUUCCUUGUUCACUAUAAGAGGGAAACAAUCAGCAUAGAACUUUUUAAAUCCACCAAUAGAUGAUAUCAGACUUCUGACAUCAUCCCUGCUUGUUGAGGGCCACAUGGAAGAGCAAACAUUUUCCCAUAAUCUCUCUUCCUUUGAGAUGGAGGAAAAUGCUGCGCAAGCACAUGCUGCACCAGCCAAUGUUGCACCAUCAAGACGCCUCAGUAUGUCAUAGAAUAAAUCGCUACUCAGCGAUGCCAUAUGUUCAAUUGUUGCAAGAGAUUUUAAGUAGUUCUACAUCUGGAAACAUAAGAACAAUGAGAUGCCCAGAGACAUAAGACCACUUUGAACAUGAUAUCUGCAAUCAAAUCGCAUAAGGAAAAUAAACGUGCAUAAAAAUAAAAAAGCCCGCUUCCAUACUCAUUAAUUACUUUGCCACUCGAAUCCAAGAUAAAGGCAGAUUGUAGUAUCUAUGGCGGAAUGUAAAGCUAAACUCCAUAAAACAUGUUAAUAUUACUAAUUCAGGGAUCAGAAAUGAGAGCAUAUUAAUUUUAGUCUCGAUAUUAUCUUCUGAAAUUAUAAGUUCUUACUCUCAAAGCCUUGAUGUCCUUGUGUAGCAUACCGGAGAGCAAACUAGUAAAACGAAUGAAAUAAUCCUUCAAUGGGUAAGUAAGUAGCGCAGAGAUAAAUUGUGCGAUACACCAAGUAAAUGUAAUCACCUAACAUUCCUUGUCCUGAAGCAGCGAGGAUCCGUUCCCCAUCUUCAGUUUCUUUUCUUUUGUGUUCUGGGCUUAUCUUUAGCUUUAAAGUAAUGCUCUUAGCAGUGUUCAUUUGGGGUAUAUUGAACCACACAGGAGUGAAGUAGUGUACAAUUGUUCUAUUACUAUAAUAAUUCUGGAAAUGGACGAAGUUUUCGAAUCUAGCUCGUGAAUUUACAGUUGCCCUGUAUCUUCUUUAAAAUGACUGGAAACAACUUGCAGCCUUAGCUAUGAUAUAGUUACAACUUCCAACCAAGCACGCAGCUGUACCAUACCGUGUCCUCUGAGAUUAAUGUCUCUUUUUUUUUUUUUUUUUAAAAAAAAAAAACUCUCGAUUGACCAAUCCAAAAGAAAUAGAAUCAGAAAAUGAAAACGGAUGAUGAAAUUAAAGAAUAAGACAUUAAAGGGAACAAGGAUGAAGGAAAGAUUUAGAAAACCAGAUAUUACCGGAAUGUAGAAUCUAAGGAACUGAAAACUAUGCCUAUCACAUAACAGGCGGAAUAGGACGACAAACUAAUAAUACUUCAUCAGGAUCAUGUGAAGUAGACACAAAAUAGUGCUUCAAAAUCAAGAAAAUAGUCCUUGAGAGGACAUCAAGUUAUAAAAAGCAAAAAAAAAAAAAAAAAGUGCUUCAAAAUCAAGAAAAUAAAAAUCAAUUAAAGAGAAAGAGAAAGCACCUCAGACCGCCGGAGGAGGAGGAGGAGGAGGAGGGCAACAGCAGAUUGAUGCGUCACUUGUACUAAGGAAACUAGCGCUCAGACAGUACAAUGAAUUGGGUUGGAAAACGCAAUAAUGAUGAUUGAAAAAAAAAGAAUAAAAAUGACCCAGUACCAGUAGUAGGGAACUGUAAAAGAUUUCGAUGGGAACGGUAUGGAAGAAGAGAUCUUUUUUGGGUAAGGUAAGAAGAAGAAGGUGAUGAAGAGUAGUGACAGUGAGCUCUGAUAGCUAGUAGUAGUAUUUACUAGUAAUAUGACUGGGGAGGAGUUGGAGGCACAGCCAUUAUUACUAUGACUGGGGACAAGCUGUUGCCUUGUUGGAGUAGGAGACGCAGACGCUUCUUUCCUUUCUUCCAGCCAGCAAAGAUGAGGAGAUGUGGAUUACUAUUCGAUUAGGUCAUCGGCUUGAUUAAAUGUGUAAUUAGUGUCUGGACGCGUAGUAGGGGGCCCGUCAAUAACAACGUGCAUUAAGUGGACCAAUGACGAUCUUCGCGAAUCGCAAGCCAGGACCGGGACCCCCUUCCUCGCUCCCCAUUGCCUCCGGAACAGGGAAGUACAUGUGUUUGAAAAAAUUUAUUUCACUUAAAUCGUAAAUAUAUUUUUAAUUAUUUUUUAUUUCAUAUAUAUCAUAUCACAAAAUAAAAAGUACUUUAAUAUUAUAAUAAAUAACAUUUUUCAAAUAAUAAGUAGUAUUAUUAUUGUCAUUUGCUUUCCUCAUCUAAUUAUUUUUCUUUUUAGAAUUUGUUGAACAAAAUGGGAUUCAUGUAGUUUCUCUCGAUUACCUUGAAUUAUUUCGCCUAAUUCUUGAAAUUGUUUUUUUUUAAAUGUAUUAUUAUCUAUAUCUAUAUGUAUUCAGGAAGGGAUUUUUAGCAGAAACCCUCUCAAUGCCUUUUAAACUUGUCAUACUUUUUUCUAGAUUUUUGUAUUUAUUUUAAUAUAUAAAAAAGUAGUGGGUUAUAACCCACCUUAUCACCAAUCAAUAUUCACACUAUCCCACUAUCACCUUAUCACCAAUCAAUAUCCCCACUAUCUUUCUUCCACUAUCCCACUAUCUUAAUUCAUAUUUUUGUAUUUAUUUUAAUACAUAAAAAAGUAAUGGAUUAUAACCCACCUUAUCACCAAUCAAUAUUCCCACUAUCCCACUAUCACCUUAUCACCCAUCAAUAUUCCCACUAUGUCACUCCCACUAUUCCACUAUCUUAACUCAUCCUACAAUUACUCCUACAAAUUCUUCUUUUACUGAUCGACUUAAUUAACUUAUCGAGUUAAUUCCCUCACCCUCUCUCUCAGUUUCUUAUUUGUUUUGGGUUCUCUAUUGAUUUUGUAAAUGUAUUUAUUUUGUUUCUUUUGUGAGUAGUAGUGGAAGAUAUUAUGUGCAGAGACUCCAGCAGAAAUCAACCUUUUUGCGGCCGGCUUAAUUUUUCAGGUCAGUCCCCUCUGCCUUUUAAGUAUGUUUUGCUUUUGCUUUGUUUUUUGUCAUGAAUGAUAUUGCAUUGAUUUUCUGAUCAUCCAUUAUUUCUGAAAAUUUUUUACAAAAUCUUAUGAACGGUUGUUUGCUUAUUGUUACACUGUAAAGCAAAGAUAAAAAGGUAUUGUUUGCUUAUAUAAUUGCGGAUGGUAUAGGUUCAUGAUUGAGGGUUCUACUAUUUCUAAUAUAAAUUGUAUAUUAUAAACAUUUAUUUGUUUGUAUUACUGAAAUUUUUUUAAUUAUUUUUUAUUGCAUAUUUAUCACAUAAAAUAGGUGUUACGAUAGUUAUUUUCAUAAUUUUAUUCCAAAAAUGAUCGUGCAUGAAAUAAAAAAAGAUUUUUUGAUAAUUAAAAAAAAUAAUUAAAAAUGAUUUAUAAUUGGAGAAAAACAAUUCAGAUACUACUAAUAACUAAAGCACUAUACACCCAUUAUUAAAAUUGGAUUAAUUUUUAAUUUCGUCAGAAAUCCUUUUGGCAAAAUUGCAUUCUAGCCUUUCUUUUCUUUAUCAACAAUGACAAUUACAACUACGUGAUUCAUCUAUCUAGCAACAACACGAUUCAACUCAUGGAAUAAAUAGUUCAUUGCUUAAAGUACUUAAACGAAAGGUUAGAGCCAAGUCCUACUUAACACCUGCAAGUAAUAUAUUACAAUUAGAAAAAAGAAAAUGAUUCAAGAGGAGCAAAAAACUCACCAAGCGCCUGACAUAUGUGCAAUCGUCAAUGCAUUUUUGAGCAUUUAAAACUGCAUUCCUUAGUUCUGGUAACCACCUCUCUGUAAUUGUUUUCAUUUGAUUACAAUGCAAUUCUAUUAAAUUCUAUUGAUGCUAUUUCUAUAUUAAUUAUUUUAUUUUUUUGGUUAACAGUUCUCAUACAAUGUAUCACUAUUUACACAUAAAAUAAAUACAUAAACUAUUGAUUUUUAAUUUAAUAUAUAUUUUAUUUCUAGAUCAAAGAAAUGAAAAAUCUAACUGUCCUCGAGAUCGUCAGGCAUCUACAUCACCAAUGAUUUUGUGUGAUCAUGGUAAAUAUACAGUUUCUUAUAUCGUCAUACUCAUCUUACAUACACACUUUUUGACUGCACUAUCUUGCUAAAUCAACUAUAGAUACAAUACAAUACAAUUGUAUUACAAUUGUUCGAUUACAAUACAAUUGUAUUACAUUCUAUUGAUGCUAUUUAUAGACAACUUAGCAAUUUUAUAGAUUAGCAAUUUAUUUUAUUUUAUAGAUUACCAAUUACUACAUAUACCAAAAUAUUUUUAUAUAGGGAUUACUUCAUUAACUAUGGGUGCUAAUAACAAUUCAGUUGGUGCGUAUUUUUCAUUUGAUUACAACACAAUUGUAUUAAAUUCUAUUGAUGCUAUUCUAUAUUAACUAUUAUAUUUUUUUGUUAACAAUUCUCAUACAAUGAUAAAAAAAUUCUCAUACAACCGAAAAAAGAUGGUUCUUGAAUGAUAUAUACAUUCUAUUAUAUUUCAAACUAUUGUUAAACAGAUAUUAUAUUUUAAUUUUGUUGGUAAAAUUUUUUCACCUUUAUUUGUUCACCAUUUUAUUUUUUUUCAAUAAUGUCAGCACCGUGCAUAGCACGGGUAUUCCCACUAGUAGUAUUGUAAGUUAGGAGCCUAGCUUAACUAUAACUUGUAAGUUAUAAUUAAAAACAGUCAAAUCCAAACAAAGCCUAGCUUAAUUAUAACUUGCGAGUUAGAAGUUUGAACUGGACUCUCAAACACACUUUAUUCGCUCUUGGUAAAGUGGAGCUUUUGCUUGUGAUGGUUAGCUUCCAUAAUGCGUAAAGACCCAAAAGUUUAAAUUUAAAGAAAAAGAACAAUGCAACCCUCAAUACUCGCAAUACAUACAUAAAUAGUUUAUUGGGAAAAUCAUUUAAAAUGUCCCAUAUGUCUCGCCAAAUGAAUUUUUUCGUCCUUUAAUUUUAAAAUUUUAACUUUACGUCUCUUACAAAUUAAAGUUAAUAGAUUUUAGUUGAAUUUUCGGUCAUUUUUAGUUUGAAAAUCACCAUGUGAUCUAGAUGUGAUCAAUUUUUAUACAUAGAAAGAAAAGGUUAAAAUCUUGAUUUUUUAGGAGCAAAAAAUGGAUACGGAUCGAGUCAUAUCUCAUUUUUUCUAAGAAAAAAAUUAAAUAUGAAUCAGAUCAAAUUUUAAUUUUUUUAGAGACAAAACUAAAUAUGAAUCGGAUAAUUUGUUUCACUACAAAUGAGAUCUAACGUUUUUGCCAAAAAAAAAAAAAAUCAUGUAUACAUCAUGUGAUGGAUUUAAGGUAAAAAGAGUGAUUGAAAACUUUGGUUAGGAUCAUUUUGCUAAUUUGAUUUUGUAAGGUACGUAAAGUUACGAUUUUAAAAAUGAUGCACUAAGAAAUUCAUUGAACAAAGUGUAAGGAAUCUUUUGAACGAUUUUCCGUAGUUUCUAGCUCUUAUCUUACUUUCAGUUUUCUAUUUCAAAUGACAAUUUUCUACACGACUUGUGUUCCUUAUCUUUUCGUUUUUAAAGAGAGAAGACAAUGGCAAUGCUCCAUCUCACGUCGAACGAACAUUCUUUCUAUUUAGGAGGAAAUAUCAAGGGCAUUUUGGUUGGAUAUGCAUUCAACCGCACACUACAUUUUGGCCGACGGUCUGACACAACAAAAAUCUAUAAUUAUUUGGUUCCGGAACUGCAGCAUGAUUUGUUUGCAAGGCAUUGGUCUAUCUAUCACUUUUACCUUUGCAUUUGUUUGAUAUAUGAGCUGUCGGAUAUAAAUGUCUUUUUAUGUAAUUAUAUAUAUAUAUAUAAUGGGAAUAGCUUGGAAGGGAAGUUUACUACUCCAUAUUAUUAUUUUGUCUUGGGUUUCAUGUGAAUUUCAACUGGAAUUCACAUGAUCAAUGAUGGGGAUCCAGCAUUCAACCACCCUUGUUCCUGAAGCAUCCUCCCUAACUCUUCUAGUUCAUGGAGUACACCAAUUGCAUGAGCAUGCCGGAAAAGAGAGGAGGUUUAGGUGACCUAAAUUGCAUGAGCAUGCCGGAAAAGGAACCGGCAACCGAUUUUUCCAAAAUUGGCAUUUGAUGCUCUCCACCCGCCGUCCGUCAACCAUGCAGCACUUAAUAAUAUUUAGAUGCGGGCAUUAAUAUUCUCGAGUCUAAGAAUGAACCCGCCGUAGUGAUGACUCUUCUUGGGUCGUUAGCAAACCAGUAAACUGAAACAAGGUUUGUCUCAUCUAUUACCCUCCCAUCGAUAAAUUCAUACAAAAAUUUGGAGCAUUCGAAAACAGAUGGCUAUGAUCUCAAGCAAAUUCCUUCUUUGCUUGCCAUAUUCAAAGCAUAGGAAAUUCCUUCUUUGCUGUUAUAUUCUGUCUAAGCAUAAAUUGGGGAACCCAGCUACUGCGCAAGUGGUUGCGAUGCGGUGUUUGAUUUCUAUGACUGUUAAGUAAAUCCUUAGCGGUGGUGUCUAUCCCUUAGUUGUCCCGUCGCUGUUUGUCCAAUUAUCGCAAUUAAGAUGAACACUCCAAACACUGCUAGUAGCAGUACUAUUUAUUACUAAUCAAUUCACCCCCUAUUUCCAUCAUCAACCUUUGUUUUAUCUGCAAACACUGGAAAUCAAUCCAAAAGGCAUUUAUUGCUUUGCAUCCUCCUAAUUUUGCUACCUGAACGAGGCUACUCUGAUAACAUCUUACAUACCACAGUCCGUCCAUAUAUAUAAAAUCCCCAAAAAAUAUAAAAAUCAACAAAGUCGACUAAUAAAUAAUUAAACCUAAAAACAAGUAUGCACAGGAUCCACUUAAUCGAGAAACACAAACAGAAGAUUGCCAACACAAAGAAAUUCAAAUUCUAUGAAUUAAUCAGUGAGGCAAUCCAUAACAGCUGAUGAUGCAUCCAAAAUAUUAGACUUGCCAGUAAGUAUUAAUGGAAAUUCUGCGGUGGUACUCGUUAUCUCAUCUCUCCUGCAACAGAGAAGGCUAUGACCUUUUUUUUCUCUUUUUUCUUUUUUUUUUGGACUAAUACUACCAUAGAACCGGUAGCAGUAACAUUCAUAAGCAGAUUAGAGCGGAAAAUUGAGUUACACGUUGAACAACAAGUAUGUGGAGAAGUAAUCACUUGUCGGCGUCGGAUGCAUGAGGCUCGUCGCGGGCCUCGUCCGUUUUCUCAGCACUGUCGCUGACGUCAUCAGGGUCACGAGCGGGAUCAGACUUGUCCAUGGCCGCUCGAGCUCUCUGGAGCCAGGGUUUGAAAGCGAGCUCUAUGGUCAGCCACCCCAUGGCAAGGGCUCCCAACACCACCGCCGCCGACUUUGCUGGGUUUAAGUUCAACUUCGCCAUUGAUUAAGUUGCUUCCCUGCGCCGACUAGAUAUGAUAGAUACACGCUAACCACUUGUCUUACUAUUAUAGCUUGUGGAAUCUCUGUCUCGCUAUUCUGGGUUUUGGGCUACGCCGACUUGCAUCCGAGUAUAUAGACACAUUGAUGCCCCUUUCGAGGGGAUGGCGCUAACCAAUUGGCAAAUUCCUACAUACGGCUCCUACUUGGGCCCAAAAGCAAUUUGGCUCCUACUUAGCCAAUCUCUCUCUCUCUCUCUACCCCAAAAAAAAAACAAAAACUUAAAAUCUUUUUUCGUCACGAAUUCUCGCUCACGGGAGAAAAAGCGCCAUACCACAAUGAUGGCCAUGGACUUUGCGUGGGGAUUGUUGGAU